This 117-nucleotide small nuclear RNA is filed under the name Pongo abelii (Sumatran orangutan). Lineage: Eukaryota; Metazoa; Chordata; Mammalia; Primates; Hominidae. The record is from RNAcentral.
GUGCUCGCUAUGGCAGCACAUAUACUAAAAUUGGAACCAUACAGAGAAGAUUAGCAUGGCCCCUGGAAAAAAAAAAAAAAAAACAAAAAAAAAAAACACCGGUUACUACAGCUUGGU